GAUAGUUCCCGAGUAUCAAAAGCUUUUUUUUUUUUUAAACCAUUAUUUAACUAGGAAACAGCCGAGGAACAGUGGGUUAACUGCCUUGUGCAGGGGCAGAAUGACAGAUUUAUACCUUGGGGAUUUGAACUUGCAACCUUCCAGUUAGAAGUCCACCACUCUAACCACUGGGCCACCUGUUUCCCCAGCUACCCUGCAUGCAGUUAAGAUACAUGUGUGUCGUGAGCCUUGUACCGAACGGAGAGAAGAAGAAGAGUGUCAAGGAUGAAACAUCAAUGACGGUAGGAGAGCAACCAACGAAAUGGAAAGUCACAGUAAUAAGUUGAAUGGAAACACUUCGUUUUUUUUGGUACAUUUUUUAAUACAACAUUUCAACAUACAGUGUCUAGUGUCAUAAACAAUACAAUGCUAUUAAAACACAGAAUAAUACAAAAAAUUAUUUAUUUUUUUAACCAUGCAUUCUUUACUCAAGUAUUCAUACGUAAGAACGACCCUCUUUUCUAGGUUGUGAGUUCCCUGCGGUCAAGGACAAUGGUCAGGUUUUCUGACUCUCUUUGCAUUUCAUCUCUGUGUAUUUAUUACUUAUCAGUCCAUCUUCCCUCUUGUUUUUAAGCAUGUUAAUUGAAUGUGUGUCUGAUUAUAUGCCAACUUGUUUUAAGUCAAACCCAGUGCUUUUCACUGCGCUGUAGUUUGUCAACCAUUUUGUUUAGCGAACCAGAGACAUCCCUUAUUGGUAUUAGGAAGGUGGUGGGAAACAAGUAUUUCAUUAACAAAAUGACAUAUAAAAAUGAAGGACAAAACACAGUAGAGAAGUUCCCCCUGAAACCAUUAUGAUAAACAUAUGAUUAUAAUCAUCAUCAAUACUAUUACUAAUUAUUAUUACCAUUAUCAUUCCAGUUGUAAGGACUCAUUUACUCAUGAAUGUAAAAACUAAAUCAAGACUACAUAUUCCUCUUUAGCGAACAACAAAAUAUAGUACAAUCUGCCCCUCAGAGCAUAGGAAGCUUUCAGUCAGUGCUGUGUAUGAAUAAGAAAUGCAUUUAAGGCUGAUUUGAUUUGACACGCCAAUCCCUCAAUUUCCAAUGGGCAGAAAUGGAAGCUGACAAAAGUAGAAUCCAAAAUGGAAGCCGAUGAAAGAUCAACAGAACAAUGGUAUAAUACAGAUGACAUUAUGAUAUGAUCAUUCCUUUCUAUGGUCCAAGAACCGUACCUAAACCGAAAGGCAGCUGAUCUGUAAUCGUUAUCGAACCUAAUUGGUUGGAGUGUACUCCUCCCUCGGCUUAAACAAAACGUGUCCCUCAGGACAGCUAUCGGGUUCUAAUUUAAAUGAACAAUGUGUUUUUGUUGAAUCCAUAUCCUUUGCAAUACUGUUGCUAACAUCUGAAAUGUAUCUGAAAUACUGAAAUGUAACUGACAGUUUAAAGAUAUUCUGUCAACAAGGCAUUUGAACAAGUUGUAGUGAAUGACUGCUAAAUUUCACACCUUUUUUACAUCUUUGGUUGUUUUCUCCGUCAAGCUUUCACAUAAAUCAGGCCAUCAUAUCCUCUUAAUUGUGGAAGCAAAUGGAGAUGUACGCUUAAUUGUGUUACGGAUAUGUCAUUUAAGAUUUCACUCAGUAUAACUAAACCUGAUUCUUUGCUAGUCUAGUGACCUUAAUGCUGAAGGACUACGCCACACACACAUAUAUAUAUAUAUAUAUGUAUAUAUAUAUAUAAACAAACAAACAAACAAAGGCCUGAAAGAAAAUGUCCUUGUGGUGUCUACAUAUCUAUGCAUCUCAAUCAAAAAUCUGCAUCAGUGUCUGUAACUGUCAUCAGAAACUACGCCUUUCUGUCUUUUAGUAACUACAAACUCUAAUUGGGACCUACCAAUAUAAACCUACCAGUUUUCCUUCUAAAAUCAAACAGCAGAAGUGACUAGAUGAUGUGUGGAGACGCAGAGGAGGUGUCAGCAAGUUAUUUACAUAUUAACCCAAUAAGAUACUGUAUCUGUAUUUCAUGGUGCUGAGUGUGAUGGAAAGGAGAUUUACAACAUGGUUCCAGAUGAAAUGUUUAUCUAGUCAGAUUAAUAAAACCAGUUUAGUCGACUAUUAUCCAGCUGUAGUGACAGGAGUCAUUGUCUCAAAGGGCUGACAGUCAGACCUGACAGAUGGACCCCAUAGAGAUGGUUAGAGAACUCAUCAUGGAUAUAACCAAUUUUUUUGCAUGAAAAUUGUGCUAUCAUAGAUGCCGUAAUUGGACAGAUACAAAGAUGAGUCCUCUAACUAACUCUAUGAUGGAUACACAUUUUUACGGAAACCUCUGUUGACAUUGACAUGUAGACUCAUCAAGGGGUAAGUGAAAGCAUUAGAAAACCGAUUAUAACCGAAGCUCAUCACUAAAAAUAAAGCUAUAUAUUAUAAGGUAUGGCAGCAGCAGUGUGCCAGUGUAACACAUCAUGAUCCCCCUCCGAUAAUUGUACAGAGGAUUAGAAUUUCAAACGUGUGAAGAAGGACGAAUUGUCUGGACAUACUGUAGAUAGACGGAGACUGGCUUUCAUGAUAUAUGCACACUAAAAAAGCAACACUUGGUAUCUUGCAAAAAACAAACUACAUAUGGAUACAUCAUCAUCCUCAUUUUGGGGGGGAGGAACAUCAUCAUCAUUAUGCGUGUACAUCAUCAUCAUUAUGUGUGUACAUCAUCAUCAUCAUUAUGUGGGUACAUCAUCAUUAUGUGUGUACAUCAUCAUCAUCAUUAUGUGGGUACAUCAUCAUUAUGCGUGUACAUCAUCAUCAUCAUUAUGUGGGUACAUCAUCAUUAUGCGUGUACAUCAUCAUUAUGUGUGUACAUCAUCAUCAUCAUCAUCAUUAUGUGUGUACAUCAUCAUCAUCAUUAUGCGUGUACAUCAUCAUUAUGUGUGUACAUCAUCAUCAUCAUUAUGCGUGUACAUCAUCAUUAUGUGGGUUUUCUCAUCACCACUCAUUUUGGUAGUACACUCAUCUAACCUGCAUUGACCACUCACCUCCACCGGACAUUACCUUACAUUAUUGCAAAGGGUCACUUUCAAAGUCAAAACUCAAUGGGGAAAAACAUGAUAAUACAUUUGAUAAUAUGUCAACAACGAAAAAAAUCACUUGAAAUAGGUGACCCAUGAGAAAAGGUACAUAUUGAAGAAUCAAUUAUCUACGCUAAGAUUGAACGAAUUGCAAUACACUAUUUAUUUCUCUAUUUUUCUUUUUUUUUUUACAAUUUGAGGCUGUAUCAAAAACUUUGUAAAAAAAUUAGAUAGAGAUUUAUCCACCAUUUUGUUCAGUGUUUUCUGGUGAUCUUGUUCUUCAGAUCUCUCCUCUCCUCUCCUCUCCUCUCCUCUCUCUCUCCUCUCCUCUCCUCUCCUCUCCUCUCCUCUCCUCUCCUCUCCUCUCCUCUCCUCUCCUCUCCUCUCCAUCUCCUCUCCAUCUCCUCUCCAUCUCCUCUCCUCUCCUCUCCAUCUCCUCUCCAUCUCCUCUCCAUCUCCUCUCCAUCUCCUCUCCAUCUCCUCUCCUCGUCUUAAUGACCUUUGAGUUGUGAAUAAAGAUCGUAUCCCUUUCAGGACCUUCUAAAUCACUCUCAACAGCAAUGAACUGUUUCCCGCAUAAACUGUGAGAACAAGAGCAUCAUCAUCACUACAUAAAAAAAUAAUUACUCCUUGUCUAAAAUAAACUGCAGGAGGCUUUUUCCAUAUCUGAUUUACACAAACAUUUUUUGAAGUAUAAAUACACUUAAUAUUAUUUCAACAGGCCGAUCGAUAGCUAUAUACAGAAGACACAUCGCAUCACCAUAAAGGCAACAUGGCAUUCAAAUGGUCAAUGUUAUGAUCAUAUUCGGAUAAGGGAGCCAUUUUAAAUAAUAAUAAUAAUAAUAAUAAAAAGAGAAUAGUGUAUUGUAUUUCCCUCUUGAGUGAUUUUGGGUGGCUUCGGGAUACCCAGGCAAGGUAAAAAUCCUUGAGCUUCAAGUCAAAACUACACAUCUGAUAAUAACUGGGCCAGGCUGUUGUAGAAUCACAGUUGUCAUGGUUGCCCUACGUGCUAACAUUAGCUAACGGUAAUGUUUGCUUGUUUAGUCCUGACUGGGCUGGGUCUACCUACUUGGUUUACCGUUUCUUUCUGAUCGAGGGAGAGAUCCUGUAUAUCUAUCUAUCUAUCUAUCUAUCUAUCUAUCUAUCUAUCUAUCUAUCUAUCUAUCUAUCUAUCUAUCUAUCUA
Oncorhynchus tshawytscha (Chinook salmon) is the source of this 4217-nucleotide long non-coding RNA. The record is from Ensembl. NCBI's taxonomy places the organism in Eukaryota, Metazoa, Chordata, Actinopteri, Salmoniformes, Salmonidae.